CCCGAGAUGGAGUCUUCCUCUAUCACCCAUGGUGGAGUGCAAUGGCGUGAUCUCAACUCACUGCAACCUCUGCCUUCUGGGUUCAAGCAAUUCUCCUGCCUCAGCCUCCCAAGCAGCUGGGAUUACAGGUGCCUGGCACCAAGUCCCGCUCAUUUUGUAUUUUUAGUAGAAAGUGUUUCACCAAGGCUGGGUGCGGUGACUCAUGCCAGUAAUCCCAGCACUUUGGGAGGCAGAGGCGGGCGGAUCACAAGGUCAGAUCAAGAACAUCCUGGCUAACACGGUGAAACCCUGUCUCUACUAAAAAUUCAAAAAAAAAAAAAAAAAAAUUAGCUGGGCGUGGUGGCAGGCGCCUGUAGUCCCAGGUAAUCGGGUGGCUGAGGCAGGAGAAUGGCGUGAACCUGGGAGGUGGAGCUUACAGUGAGCCGAGAUCGUGCCACUGCACUCCAGCCUGGGGGACAGAGUGAGACUCCGUCUCAAAACAAAACAAAACAAAACAAAAAAGCGUUUCAUCAUGUUGGUCAGGCUGGUGUCGAACUCCUGACCUCAGGUGAUCCACCUGCCUCAGCCUCCCAAAGUGCUGGGAUUACAAGUGUGAACCACUGCGCCUGUCAUAUAUUUGUAUUUUUUGUAGACAGAGUUUUGCCGUGUGGCCCAGGCUUAGAUCUUUUAUAUUGAUAAUGUAUCCAUGUGUAGCAAGUUGAUACAGUGAAUGCUUAAACUUGGGUCAUAUACAGAGUGAUAACACUUUCCAAUUUGCCUGCAACAGUUCAGGUGUCUGUUUAGAUAUUUCAGGUUGCUUCUUUCAGUCCCAAACAUGUCCUAGUUUGGAUAAUAAAUUAUGUCUUAGUUUGGACAGUAAGUGAUGGUAUAUAUAAUAAAGUCAUGCUUUGCUUAAGGAUGGGGAUAUGUUUCGAGAAAUGCAUGAUUUGGCAAUUUCAUCAUCUUGCAUGCACCAUAGAGUGUACUUAUACAAAUCCAGCUGUUACAGCCUAUUACUCCUAGGCUGCAAACCCUGUAUAGCAUGUUACUGUACUGAAUACUGUAGGCAGCUAUAACACAAUGAGAAGUAUUUCUGUAUCUAAACACAGAAAUCGUACAGUAAAUGUGUGGUAUAACCUUAUGGGACCAAGGACCACCAUCAUAUAGGUGGUCUGUCAUUGACUGAAACGUUAUGUGGCAUAUGACUGUAUUUUAUGUAUAUAUUAUAUAUAUGCACAUACAUAUAUAUAAAAAUUACUCGGAUAAGUUAUAUAUAUUAUCCUAAUUAUAAGGAUUUAUGACUGUGUAAAAGUUGCUUAUCAACACUAUGAUGCUAGGUAAAACAAGGACUUGAAAGGAAAAUUUCUGUAACCUUUUUUCCAGCUGUAUAAAGGCAUUAAUUUACUUCUGCCUAUCUCAUUGGGUGGUCAGGAGAAUCAAACUGAUAUGUGAAAGGGUGUGAAAACAUACAUGAUACACUGAGAAAAAGGAUUGUUACCUUAAAAGAUCCUGUUUUCUGGAAGAGUUCACAUUUGAAGAAAAGAUUGCGCCCUGUUAGUUGAUUCAAAAUGGAGCUUGUUAGCACUGGUGUGAGGUGGAUAGAAUCUCGAAUGUUGAUAUGAGCUUUUUCAACAUCAGCAAAGGAGAUGCAAUACUGAGCACACAUGGUUCUGAAACCCAGGAAUAAGAAAGGGGUCAAAGCAAAGUCUGAGACAGUAUGUUUAUUGAAGAGAUUUUGAAAAUACGUAACAGAAUAGACCUGGGGCCUGUGGUGUCAUGUGGAAAUUCUCCAUUAUUGGAGUGUCAGAAUUUCCCUAAAAGAGAGUUGACUUAAAAGCUGAACGAAGUUUUUCUGGUGAAGCUUUGAGGGAAGUAACUGAUGGUGAUUACAGAAGGCUAAAGCCCACUCCCCACCCACACCACCCAUCUCUUGGCACUGUUGGCACUGCCACUGGUCUCCAUCUUCCUUUUUUUUUUUUUUUUUUUGAGACGGAGUCUCGCUCUGUAGCCCAGGCUGGAGUGCAGUGGCACAAUCUCGGCUCACUGCAACCUCCGCCUCCCGGGUCAAGCAAUUCUCCUGCCUCAGCCUCCCGAGUAGCUGGGAUUACAGGAAUGUGCCAUCGUGCCCAGCUAAUUUUUAUAUUUUUAGUAGACACGGGGUUUCACCAUGUUGUCCAGGCUGGUCUUGAACUUCUGACCUCGUGAUCCGCCUGCCUCGGCCUCCCAAAGUGCUGGGAUUACAGGUGUAAGCCACCGUGCCCAGCUCCACCUUUCUUUUAAUCAUCGUUGUGAAGCUACUUGAAUGAAUUGGAUUCAAUUUUUAUAUUAUUUUUAAUUUAUAAAUUUAAAUUUUUAAUUUUUAAUAAAAAUUUAACAAAUUAUUUGAUAAAGAAAAAAUAGCUAGACUAUUCCAUUUAAAUAACUAUGUUCAUUUUCUUUAUUUCCCUCUGCAUUUUCUUUUUUUUUGUUUUUUGAGAUGGUGUUUCACUCCUGUUGUCCCGGCUGGAGUGCACUGGUGCAGUCCUGGCUCACCACAACCUCCACAUCCCAGGUUCAAGCGAUUCUCCUGCUUCAGCCUCCCGAGUAGCUGAGAUUACAGGCAUGCACCACCAUGCCCAGCUAAUUUUUUUUUUUUUUUUUUUUUGAGACAGAGUCUCGCUCUGUCACCCAGGCUGGAGUGCAGUGGCGCGAUCUCGGCUCACUGCAAGCUCCGCCUCCCGGGUUCACGCCAUUCUCCUGCCUCAGCCUCCCUGGUAGCUGGGACUACAGGCACCUGCCACCAUGCCUGGCUAAUUUUUUGUAUUUUUAGUAAAGACGGGGUUUCACCGUGUUAGCCAGGAUAGUCUCAAUCUCCUGACCUCGUGAUCCGCCUGCCUCGGCCUCCCAAAGUGCUGGGAUUACAGGCGUGAGCCACCAAACCCGGCCAAUUUUGUAUUUUUAAUAGAGACGGGGUUUCUCCAUGUUGUGCAGGCUGGUCUCGAACUCCCGACCUCAGGUGAUCCGCCUGCCUCAGACUCCCAAAGUGCUGGGAUUAUAGGCGUGAGUCACUGCGCCCGGCUCCUUCUGCAUUCUCAAUAUACAUUAUGUAACAGUUAAAGCAAACAUUUUAUUUGCUCCUACAUUUGACUCAGUUUCUUUACAAUUUUCAUAAUUUUCAAUAACUACAUUAAGCUUCCACUUUCCACUGUGUCUAUUGUAGCAGUUAAAUAUGAAGUUUCUCUAUUUUUCCUUAUUACAAAAGAAUCUAUAUUCAUUAGAAAACUGAGUUAAUCUGAAAAUACAGAGAUACAAAAAGAACAUGAAAAUAGCCACGAAACCUUCCUACCUAAAGACAGUUGCUAUCCAGUGGUUUACCUUUCCAGGCCCAACUACAUAUGCAGACAAAACUCUUUGGUAGGUUUGGUAACUUCUUUUUUUGUCAGACAGUAUUAUGAAUAUCAAUGAAUCUCAUAGGUGAGUACAUUUAUCAACAUUUUUUUUUUGUUGUUUUUUUGAGAUGGAGUUUCACUGUCACCCAGACUGAAGUGCAGUGGCAUGACUGUGGCUCACUGCAACCUCUGCCUCCUGGGUUCAAGCAAUUCUCCUGCCUCAACCUCCUGAGUUGCUGGCAUUACAGGCGCCCACCACCACACCCAGCUAAUUUUUAUAUUUUUCGUAGAGGCGGGGUUUCACCAUGUUGGCCAGGCUGGUCUUGAACUCCUGAUCUUAGGUGAUCCGCCCGCCUCGGCCUCCCAAAGUGCUGGUAUUACAGGCGUGAGCCACCACGCCCGGCCCAUUUAUCCAACUUUUUUUUUUUUUUUGAGAGAGUCUUGCUCUGCCGCCAGGCUGGAGUGCGGUGGCGCCAUCUCAGCUCACUGCAACCUCUGCCUCCCAGGUUCAAGCGAUUCUCCUGCCCUAGCCUCCCUAGUAGCUGGGAUUACAGGCGCCUGCCACCACACCCAGCUAAUUUUUUUAUUUUUAGUGGAGACAGGGUUUCACCAUGUUGGCCAGGCUAGUCUCGAACUCCUGACUUCAGGCAAUCCACCUGGCUCAGCCUCCCAAAGUGCUGGGAUUACAGGCGUGAGCCACUGCGCCCGGCUUUAUCCAACUUUUAAAAUGACUUAAUAGUACUUCUUUUACAAAAAUACAAUAAUUUAGCUGGGGGCAGUGACACACACUGGUAGUCCCGGCUACUUGGGAGGCUAAGGCGGGAGGCUUGCUUGAGCCCGGGAGUGUGUUAUUAUCACGUCUAUGAAUAGCCACUGUACUGUGGCCUGGGCAACAUAAGCAGGACCCUAUCUCUUGAAAAAGAAAAAAUAAUAAUUUUAAGUUUACAUAGCUCAAAUGAACAUUUGGAUUUCCUUUUGUUGUUGUUGGCUGUAAGAAUGAUGUAAUGAAUAGCCUUGUUGCAAGAUUUUUGUGUACCUCCGUCAGUCCUUAGGGUAGAUUUCACCAAAUGGUAUUUUGUAUCAAAAGGCAUACAUAUUUCUAAGAAAUCUGAUACCCACUGCCAAACUGAUCUCCAGAAGGGUCCUAUAUUACAUCAAUUUGUACUCCCAACAACAGUUUUGAUGGAAUGAUGCCUCUUUUCCUUCAUCCGUCCUAUAUCAUUUUUAUGUCAAUUUAGUUAUGUCUAGUAGUUGUUGUUUCUUUGAGACGGAGUCUUGCUCUGUUGCCCAGGCUGGAGUGCAGUGGUGGGAUCUUGGCUCACUGCAACCUCCACCUCCCAGGUUCAAGUGAUUCUCCUGCCUCAGCCUCCCGAGUAGCUGGGACUACCGGUGUGUGCCACCACGCCAGGCUAAUUUUUUGUAUUUUUAGUAGAGACAGGGUUUCACUGUGUUAGCCAGGAUGGUCUCGAUCUCCUGACUUCGUGAUCCACCUGCCUCAGACUCCCAAAGUGCUGAGAUUACAGGUGUGAGCCACUGUGCCUGGCAAUGUCUAGUAGUUUUAAUUUACAUUAAUUACUAGUGAUUGAACAUUUUUUUGUGUAUCUUGGCCACUUGUUCUUUUCUCAGUCUUUUUUUUUUUUUUUUAGAUAAGGUCUCACUCUGUUGUCCAGGCUGGUGUACAGUGGCUCAAUUAUGGCUCCCUGCAGCUUCAAACUCUUGAGCUCAAGUGAUCUUCCCGCCUCAGCCUCCCAAGUACCUGGGACUAUGACUGUGCACCACCAUACCCAGCUAAUUUUUUAAAUUUUUAUUUUAGUAGAGAGGAAGUCUUGCUGUGUUGCCCAGGCUGGUCUCAAACCCCUGAGCUCAAGUGAUCCUUCCGCCUUGGCCUUCCAAAGUGCUGGGAUUACAGGCAUGAGGCACCACACCCAGCCUUCUUAACACACCAUUUACUGACAGAAUCCUUUUCCUCUGAAAUGCUCUAUUUAUCAAAAAUUAAAUUUCUAUGAAUGGUUGGGGCUAUUGUAUUUUGUUCCAUUGGCCAGACUGCCAAUGUCUUUUCCUAUUAUAUACUGUAUUAAUAAAUUCUCCCUUGAUUGCUCUA
Molecule: long non-coding RNA, 5448 nt
Filed under: Homo sapiens (human)
Lineage: Eukaryota; Metazoa; Chordata; Mammalia; Primates; Hominidae
Description: HSALNT0388059
Source: RNAcentral